Molecule: ribosomal RNA, 253 nt
Filed under: uncultured bacterium
Lineage: Bacteria
Description: partial 16S ribosomal RNA
Rfam family: Bacterial small subunit ribosomal RNA
Source: RNAcentral
UACGGGGGGGGCAAGCGUUGUUCGGAAUUACUGGGCGUAAAGGGCUCGUAGGCGGCCAACUAAGUCAGACGUGAAAUCCCUCGGCUUAACCGGGGAACUGCGUCUGAUACUGGAUGGCUUGAGUUUGGGAGAGGGAUGCGGAAUUCCAGGUGUAGCGGUGAAAUGCGUAGAUAUCCGGAGGAACACCAGUGGCGAAAGCGGCCACCUGGACUGUACCUGACGCUCAAACGCGAAAGCUAGGGGAGCGAACGGG